UGUUGUGGCCGUCCCAUCUUGAGAAUGCCUCAUCUCGUCUGAUCUCAUUUGUUAAGCAGAACUGGGCCAGGUUAGGACUUGGAUGGGAGAACGCUGGAAAUACCAAGUGUCACAGAGG
Molecule: ribosomal RNA, 118 nt
Filed under: Periophthalmus magnuspinnatus
Lineage: Eukaryota; Metazoa; Chordata; Actinopteri; Gobiiformes; Gobiidae
Source: RNAcentral